RNAcentral lists this long non-coding RNA (1580 nucleotides) under Homo sapiens (human). RNAcentral describes it as "non-protein coding lnc-E2F6-9:1". The record is from RNAcentral. Lineage: Eukaryota; Metazoa; Chordata; Mammalia; Primates; Hominidae.
AGAGAUGAGAGUCUCGCUAUGUUGCCCAGGCUGGUCUCGAACUCUUGGCCUCAAGCAGUCCUCUGGCCUUAGCCUCCCAAGUAGCUGGGAUUACAGGUGUGAGCCGUGCCUGCCUCCUGAGUUAACUUCUUACUCAAGAAAGAAUGCUUGUCCCUGCAAGAACAGCAGAACGCCUCAUGAACUGCAGCUGGGAACUGGAAAUGCCACAGAUAACACUGCAAACUUUAAAUGAACCAGAUUUUGGCAUGAAAAAAGACCUGUAGAAAGAUCUCCUCACCUGUGUUCCGUUUAAUUGUUUCAAUUUUAAAUUUGGUUUUUGUUUCCUAGAAACAUACUUUUCUGAGAAAGCAGUCAGAAACAGUGGUCUGGAAACAAUGGAUUGCUUAUGAACAAUUCUGCAAAUCUGCCCAGAGAUUUAAGAAAUCCUAAGAGGAUCGAGAAGUGGAAUUCUAAUUGGCCUUUAAAACUCCCAAUAACAAAGUGCUACAAACCAGGCGGCAUGACCACAAUAUUUAUAGAAGAUGGAGCUCAGAAUCCCCAUGUCUAACUCCCAGGUUAAAUGCAGAAAUUAAAGUGCUUUCACUGGGAAUAAAAGAGUGUUUAUUCAAGCUAAAUUUACACAUUUAUUGUUUUAAAGGGAUAAUAAAAAGUCUUUCAAGCCCUGAAGUAACACUUAACUCUCUAAUAAAAGUUUAUUAAAGAAAAGCUUCAGUAUACAAAGUAAGUAGUUCUUUUUUGCAGGUCCUCAAGACCAGGCAUCAAAGAGAGUUGACAGCAAAAUGGCCCGGAGUCCCUCUGCAUGAAUGGCGGCUCUCCCAGUCUCCAGCUGCCGGCGCCCUGGUGGCCGGGCCACACACACACACACACACACACACACACACACACACACACACACACCCCUUCUUGUACUUCGGGGAAGCAGCCUUUGUUCCCAGGACCCAAACUGGGAUCCAGUUAGGAAGUCCCCACCUCCCCUGAAGCAUCCUCUUCAAGUGCAGGGGCCCCUAAACCACCGUCCCAGAGCCACUCAGGAAAGAUACCCCAAAAUUUUCUCCCGGGUCCCAAGUGCUGGGGACAUGUGGCUGCCACUCUGGGCUCCAGACAGUCUCCCUAAACACAGAGGCAGAUACACACACACACACACCCUUGCAAUACGAUUAUCACCGUCACUGUUCACGGCUCCCACCUACCGAGGGCUCACCAUGUGCCAAGCGCCAGGAGCCUCGGGUGCUCUCUCUCUCUCACACACACACACGCGCGCGCACACCGAUACACGCGUACACAUGCACGCACGCACACGCGCACUCACACACGCACACACGUGCACACACGCACACCCAUACACGCACACGCACGCACACCCCACACACACGCGCGCCCACACCUAUACCCGCGCGCACACGCACGCACAAGCGCACGGCAGCGGCAGCACCCAGGUCCCUACACGCUGCCAGGGCCGAUCCCGGACACCUUCCACCUCCUUCCCGGGACCAGGGCCAGGAAGUGCCCGCGUCCGGCGGGGCGCACCUUCCCCGCCGGGCGCCGAGUGCCCGCCCCGAGCAGCCCCGCACAGCCCCGCG